Molecule: long non-coding RNA, 1615 nt
Filed under: Gossypium barbadense (sea-island cotton)
Lineage: Eukaryota; Viridiplantae; Streptophyta; Magnoliopsida; Malvales; Malvaceae
Description: long non-coding RNA (GBAR_LNC011186)
Source: RNAcentral
AGAUUACCCCCUAGUUCAACGUGUCUUCUAUCCUUCCCACUUCCAGAACCCCCAACAGCUUCAUCAAGACCACCGCCUAAAAUGUUUCUCUCAAUUAAAGGCGUGAACCUAGAUCCCAACGGAUCUUUGCCUAAUUUUGCAGUCUCGUUAGCCCUAAAAUCACGUGAUCCCCUUCGUGAUUUCUUCUCAACUAACAUCCAUGGUCCGAAAUCAUUGUUCUUUCCUUCUCCGCCCUCAUCGACCGUUCCAUCAGAAGUCUUCACCGUUGGGGCCUCCAUACUAUCCAAAAUCAUCUUCGGCCUUUCCAAAGCCGCACCACUCCCGUCCACGAACACAACUCUUUGACGUGCCCAUAUCGUCCACAGCUGAAACAAACCGUCGGGAAGGAUUUAUAUUCUACCCGUUGGAUAUCACCAUCGACCAAAACCUUUGAGAUAAGAGGUUCGUCAAGAUUAACAAACACUGCCAAUUGGGCAAACUUUCCCCUUGUGCUAUUAUCAGUUUGGAAAUAUAAUUUGACAACUUUUCCGACUAAACCCCCAAUUGCUUCAAUAAUUAGCCUUUUGUACAGAUAACCCGGAAGCCCCGGCAGACGGACCCAAGCCAGCACCACGCUGGGGUAAAGCUGCGCUGGGUUGAACUUUCUCGUCCCAGGCUGAACAAUGAGGUAUUGCUCGAAAAUUAUCCACGGCCCUUGAGUUAAAACUUUGUUAUAAUCCUCCAUGUCCUGAAACUUAACAAAAAAAUAACCAUUGGUAAUAUCCAUUAGAUGAAAAGAAUUCGCAGGUUUCCAUAGGUUAAGUAAACGGUUAUAAAGCACGUUAUAACCAAUGUUUCGCCCGAGUAGUUUAAAAAUAACCGUUGAUUCCAUUUCUUUAAAGAGAAUAUCUUUGAUGCAUUCCGAAAAAGCAAUUGCCGGAAUCCCAUUAACCAUUGAGGUAUUCAUGUCACCAUCCAGAAUUUCUAAGUCGCCUUCAUUUCUUCCAAGAUUCCUUGCAGGAUUCCCAUCAGAGAAGGCCACUCUCUGCUCAAGAGUUUGUCUUUAAACGACAUCUUCGGUUGUUGUUCAGAAUCCACCACCAUAAUAGUUUCAUCAACAACACCAGCUUCCUUAAAACGUACUUUUUUGGUAUUCCGAUCACCGACAUCACAGAGAUCACUAGCAGAACCGUUAUCGCACAUUUUUUCAAUUAGAAAGUAAACAAAACAAUGAUUUUCCCAUAGGAUACUUCCCUUUCUCUUUUAAUUACACAUUCCUGCAAUUUUUUUUCCAAUUCUUUAACUAAUCAUUGAAAGCAUCAUUUUUAAUUCUUCAUUAAUGUUUAUAUACAUUGAAACUAUUUCGAAUGUAAUAUCUUCAUUAUAGUAGUUUAAAUUAGAAUGUUUUAGAAAUUAAUUCUCAAAUUGAUACAAAACAUUAAAGGAUACUAAAUUAUUUUUCAUUAAUGUUCUUUAGCGUAUACCUAUUCGACCAGUUUUUUGCUAAGGCUGGUCUUGAAAAUGGAAACCCAUACAUUAUAAAGUUACCCACUUUAUAUAUGUUGCUUCAAGUUCUAUUGAAGCAGCAUAUUUUAGAUAUGCGGCGGUGGCCAUAGAUGAAAGGAAACUGUUUUGG